GAUCACUACAGUUUCUUAGGACUCUGAGAAAUUGUCCCUUAGGCACAUUUCGAAGCCAAGGAUCAUAGUGACAGCUAGUAGUGUCGAUAUAACUGUUAACAUCCACUGGCUUGAAAUGGGUUCAGGUUUGUAGUGUGUCUUUUUCUACAUAUAUGUCAAGGUCCAGGAACUGUACAUUACUUUGACUAAUUUGACUGGUUAAAACAAUACCUCUAGGGUUAGUAUUUAAAAAUUCCAAAAAGGAAUUAAGAGAAUCCAGAUCACCUCUCCAAAUAAAAAAAACAUCAUUGAUGUAUC
Non-coding RNA from Pelobates cultripes (western spadefoot toad), 297 nucleotides. NCBI's taxonomy places the organism in Eukaryota, Metazoa, Chordata, Amphibia, Anura, Pelobatidae. The record is from the annotation of a GenBank genome assembly.